GGCAAGGUAGUUUAAUUAAAAAUAUCUAUUUUACACGUAGAAGUUAGAUUAUUUCUUAUUGUCA
RNAcentral lists this transfer RNA (64 nucleotides) under Cyathocotyle prussica. RNAcentral describes it as "tRNA-Val". The record is from RNAcentral. Lineage: Eukaryota; Metazoa; Platyhelminthes; Trematoda; Diplostomida; Cyathocotylidae.